Molecule: non-coding RNA, 110 nt
Organism: Brevundimonas diminuta ATCC 11568
Lineage: Bacteria; Pseudomonadati; Pseudomonadota; Alphaproteobacteria; Caulobacterales; Caulobacteraceae
Source: Rfam
CGCCGUUCUCCGGGGGGUCGCAAUCGAGCGGCUGAGAUUGAGGUUUCUCCUCUGACCCGUCGAACCUGAUCCGGGUCAUGCCGGCGAAGGGACGAGUUCACCGCUUUCGA